Molecule: ribosomal RNA, 130 nt
Filed under: uncultured beta proteobacterium
Lineage: Bacteria; Pseudomonadati; Pseudomonadota; Betaproteobacteria
Description: partial 16S rRNA
Rfam family: Bacterial small subunit ribosomal RNA
Source: RNAcentral
GGGCUCAACCUGGGAACUGCAUUUGAAACUGCCAAGCUGGAGUUUGGCAGAGGGGGGUGGAAUUCCACGUGUAGCAGUGAAAUGCGUAGAGAUGUGGAGGAACACCGAGGGCGAAGGCACCCCCUGGGCC